UGGGGAGUCGUCUAAUGGUAGGACAUAUCCCUUUGAAGGAUAGUAUUGGGGUUCGAAUCCCUGCUCCCCAGCUA
This 74-nucleotide transfer RNA is filed under the name Candidatus Wolfebacteria bacterium CG10_big_fil_rev_8_21_14_0_10_31_9. RNAcentral's name for it is "tRNA-Gln". It matches the Rfam family "tRNA". From Rfam's summary of the family: Transfer RNA (tRNA) molecules are approximately 80 nucleotides in length. Their secondary structure includes four short double-helical elements and three loops (D, anti-codon, and T loops). The record is from RNAcentral. Lineage: Bacteria; Candidatus Wolfeibacteriota.